RNAcentral lists this ribosomal RNA (467 nucleotides) under uncultured bacterium. RNAcentral's name for it is "partial 16S ribosomal RNA". It matches the Rfam family "Bacterial small subunit ribosomal RNA", at positions 28 to 506 of the family's 1533-position model. The record is from RNAcentral.
GACGAACGCUGGCGGCGUGCUUAACACAUGCAAGUCGAACGGAAAGGCCCUGCUUUUGUGGGGUGCUCGAGUGGCGAACGGGUGAGUAACACGUGAGUAACCUGCCCUUGACUUUGGGAUAACUUCAGGAAACUGGGGCUAAUACCGGAUAGGAGCUCCUGCUGCAUGGUGGGGGUUGGAAAGUUUCGGCGGUUGGGGAUGGACUCGCGGCUUAUCAGCUUGUUGGUGGGGUAGUGGCUUACCAAGGCUUUGACGGGUAGCCGGCCUGAGAGGGUGACCGGCCACAUUGGGACUGAGAUACGGCCCAGACUCCUACGGGAGGCAGGAGUGGGGAAUAUUGCACAAUGGGCGGAAGCCGGAUGCAGCAACGCCGGGUGCGGGAUGACGGCCUUCGGGUUGUAAACCGCUUUCGCCUGUGACGAAGCGUGAGUGACGGUAAUGGGUAAAGAAGCACAGGCUAACUACGU